UACGAAGGGGGCUAGCGUUGUUCGGAAUUACUGGGCGUAAAGCGCACGUAGGCGGACAUUUAAGUCAGGGGUGAAAUCCCAGAGCUCAACUCUGGAACUGCCUUUGAUACUGGGUGUCUUGAGUAUGGAAGAGGUGAGUGGAAUUCCGAGUGUAGAGGUGAAAUUCGUAGAUAUUCGGAGGAAGACCAGUGGCGAAGGCGGGUCUCUGGACAGUUCCUGACACUGAGACACGAAAGCGUGGGGAGCAAACAGG
Molecule: ribosomal RNA, 253 nt
Filed under: uncultured bacterium
Lineage: Bacteria
Description: partial 16S ribosomal RNA
Rfam family: Bacterial small subunit ribosomal RNA
Source: RNAcentral